AGCGAACGCUGGCGGCAGGCCUAACACAUGCAAGUCGAACGGACCCUUCGGGAUUAGUGGCGGACGGGUGAGUAACACGUGGGAACGUGCCCUUUGGUUCGGAACAACUCAGGGAAACUUGAGCUAAUACCGGAUGUGCCCUUCGGGGGAAAGAUUUAUCGCCAUUGGAGCGGCCCGCGUCUGAUUAGCUAGUUGGUGAGGUAACGGCCCACCAAGGCGACGAUCAGUAGCUGGUCUGAGAGGAUGAUCAGCCACACUGGGACUGAGACACGGCCCAGACUCCUACGGGAGGCAGCAGUGGGGAAUCUUGCGCAAUGGGCGAAAGCCUGACGCAGCCAUGCCGCGUGAAUGAUGAGGGUCUUAGGAUUGUAAAAUUCUUUCAGCGGGGACGAUAAUGACGGUACCCGCAGAAGAAGCGCCGGCUAACUUCGUG
This 433-nucleotide ribosomal RNA is filed under the name uncultured bacterium. RNAcentral describes it as "partial 16S ribosomal RNA". It matches the Rfam family "Bacterial small subunit ribosomal RNA", at positions 29 to 507 of the family's 1533-position model. The record is from RNAcentral.